CAUCCACAUCAUUGCCAUACUCACCGAUGGUGGCAUUGAAGAACCGGUUGUGGUAGCGGUGCCCAUAGCUUGCCAAGGCAUGGGAUUAGAUGGAUAGCCCUUAUCAGAGAUGCUACCAAAUUGAAAUGUACUUUAUCCUCUUAUUGCAUGCAACAUUGACGAGAGAUAAAUUUGGCAAGUCACAUGCUUGUUUCAAUGCCAAAACUGCCGAAGGUAUUAAGAUCAGAAUUAUGGAGAC
Molecule: long non-coding RNA, 238 nt
Filed under: Elaeis guineensis (African oil palm)
Lineage: Eukaryota; Viridiplantae; Streptophyta; Magnoliopsida; Arecales; Arecaceae
Description: long non-coding RNA (EGUI_LNC024143)
Source: RNAcentral